GAAGAACGGCAACCUCGCACCCUGACAUGCCGCCACCGUCACGACGGCGGCAUCGACCGCAGCCCCAACGCUGCAAUGCGACGUUGCCAUCCCAACGGGCAACAGCCCUUGCGGCCGAACCGCGCUGCGAGGCCGUGGUGGCAUGGCCAGAUUUUCACGGCACGCUCCUGUACCGUGCGUCCGGUCAUUGGUCGGUGAGGACACGCGACCCCCAGGACCGUCGCGAUCAACACGGAUACCACGUGGCACCGGCGUCUUUACACUCCACGAUGCUAUCCUAUGAAGUUAAUAUACGCAAACUCGUGGACACGCAACCCCCAGGACCGUGACGACCAUGUCAGAAGCCACGCGGCGAUUUCUUCACUUUUUCACGAUGUUAACUUGAUAAUAGCUGAACGUAAUUAAUGGAGCUUAAACAGAGGUGGUUGAGAUUGUUUGAGGAAAACGAUAUAAAUAGGUAGACGUUCUUCGUUCUUUAGAGGCAGUAGAUUAAUAAAUGAUGUUUGAAAAUUGACAUUCUGUUUGGAAAGUACACAAGAUGAACGACCAACUGUGAAGAAUAUAGACGGAAGCAACGAAAGGUUAAUGUGAUUUUCUAAUUAGAUGCGGACACGCGACCCCACCGCGUCAUCGAAUGCGGAACCCACGUGACCACAAUUCCCUUAUCCUCGACAGUGAUGAUUAACGAUGUCCGAGAUUUAAUGCACUUGGAUGAUUAAUAAAGUUCGAAACGGUGCGUUUAAACAGUCUGAAAUGAAAAAGGGAGAAACUGACAAACGCAGAUGGAAAUUGCAAGAAAGGAAAUAAAAUAAAUAAAAAUAGUAGAUACAUUAUCGUGAUCGUGAAUUUCCACGUUCAAUUUAAUUCUAUGCACUUAUUUAAAAACGAUUUCAAACGCAGAAAUAAGAUAAAUAUGGACAGAAAAUAAGAAUGAGAAAGGAGAAAUGAGAAAUGCAACCGUGAACGGUUCGGGAAACGCAAAUCACACGAAAAGAAAAAAUGAGAAAUUAACAGUCGAUGUAUAAAAAUCACGUAACAUUUUAUUAAACUCGUUUCCAGUAGGUGUAAUGCAUGUGUACGUGUUGCUUUCUUCGUUUCGUACUUUCUUUCUUUUUUUUUUCUCACUUUCGAACCCUUCCUACUCCUUUCUUGUUUAAUAAAAUAUCGGAUACCGCUUCGUAGGAAUUACUUCUUACAUUUAGACCACAGAAAUAUCGAUUUCGUUUUAUUAUUCUUUCCUCUUACUUCUUCUCCCUCUUGUCGAAGAGAUCGCGGAUAACCGACGUCAUUCGCAAGAUCG
This 1300-nucleotide unclassified non-coding RNA is filed under the name Bombus terrestris (buff-tailed bumblebee). RNAcentral's name for it is "misc RNA ENSBTSG00005025604.1". Lineage: Eukaryota; Metazoa; Arthropoda; Insecta; Hymenoptera; Apidae. The record is from RNAcentral.